Ictalurus punctatus (channel catfish) is the source of this 835-nucleotide long non-coding RNA. Lineage: Eukaryota; Metazoa; Chordata; Actinopteri; Siluriformes; Ictaluridae. The record is from Ensembl.
UUAAACAUAAGAGCAUGAACUUGUUUUAAAGCAUUCCAUAACAUUAAAUGCAACUAUAAAUUGAUUUUAGUAUACUGUGUUGUACUUCAAUAAAUGAAAAAUGUAAAUGUUGACAAAUUGCUGUUGUGAAAGAGAAAUAAAACACUUCUGGAUUUGUUGUUAUAGGAAAAUAAUUAACAUGUGUUGGAACAGCAAUUCCAUUUCAUCAGUGAGUAUUUUAUUUGGUUUGUUUUGGUGUGUUUUAGUGUGUAUCAGUAUGGAUUAGUGUAUAAUACUGUGUGCUGGUGUGUAUCUUUGUGUGUUGGUGUGUAUAGGUAUGUGUUGUUGUGUGUUGGUGUCUAUAGAUGUUUGUUGUUGGGUGCUGGUGUGUAUAGGUGUGUGUCAGUGUGUAUAGGUGUGUGUUGUGGUGUAAUAUUGUGUGUUAGUGUGUAUGGAUGUGUGUUGAUGUGUGUUGGUGUGUAUAGGUGUAUAUUGCGGUGGAAUACUGUGUGUUAGUGUGUAUGGAUGUGUGUUGGUGUGUAUAGCUGUGUGUUGGGGUGGAAUACUGUGUGUUAGUGUGUAUGGAUGUGUGUUGGUGUGUAUAGCUGUGUGUUGGGGUGGAAUACUGUGUGUUAGUGUGUAUGGAUGUGUGUUGGUGUGUAUAGCUGUGUGUUGGGGUGGAAUACUGUGUGUUAGUGUGUAUGGAUGUGUGUUGGUGUGUAUAGGUGUGUGUUGGGGUGGAAUACUGUGUGUUAGUGUGUAUGGAUGUGUGUUGGUGUGUAUAGGUGUGUGUUGGGGUGGAAUACUAUGUGUUAGUGUGUAUGGAUGUGUGUUGGUGUGUAUAGGUGUGUGUUGG